GAAAGCAUCUAUCAAGUGGAAUUCUAUCGAUCAAGGGCGAGAGUAGGAGUAUCCAACCGGAUCAGAGACCCGGGUAGUUCCUACCUUAAACUAUGCCGACGAGGGCUUAUUUUUUAUUUUAGAAGUAGGACCAUUAGAGAAAUCAAUAGUUCAUGGGCUCUGGGGGAACUACGACCGCAAGGCUGAAAUUUGAAGGAAUUGACGGAAGGGCACACCAGGGGUGGAGCUUGUGGCUUAAUUUGAAUCAACACGGGGAAACUUACCAGAACCAGAUAUUUUUAAUGACUGAUCAGGAUCAAGUUCUUUCAGGAUAUAAUUUUUGGUGGUGCAUGGCCGUUGGUGGUGCGUGGGUUGACCUGUCUAGCGUUGAUUCAGAUAACGAGCGAGAUUAUUACCAAUUAAAUAAUUAAUAAUAUUUUAAAUAUUAUUUUUAAUUUCUAAUUGGGACUCCCUGCGUCUAAGCAGGAGGAAGAGGAUAGCAAUAACAGGUCCGUGAUGUCCUUUAGAUGCUCUGGGCUGCACGCGCGCUACAAUGUUAAAAACAAUAAGAAUAAUUUAAAGCUAAUUUGAAAAGAUC
This 577-nucleotide ribosomal RNA is filed under the name Histomonas meleagridis. RNAcentral describes it as "bacterial SSU rRNA". It matches the Rfam family "Eukaryotic small subunit ribosomal RNA", at positions 947 to 1543 of the family's 1831-position model. Lineage: Eukaryota; Parabasalia; Tritrichomonadida; Dientamoebidae. The record is from RNAcentral.